Molecule: long non-coding RNA, 1054 nt
Organism: Lactuca sativa (garden lettuce)
Lineage: Eukaryota; Viridiplantae; Streptophyta; Magnoliopsida; Asterales; Asteraceae
Source: RefSeq, a predicted model, not a curated record
UUAAAACGAAUUAAUAACCCAUUAAAUUGAAAAUCAAUUUUAAAUCGCCCAUCGUUCAUCUUUAUUAACCUUACCUGCCUAUGAUUGAAGAAGAUAAGAGGGUUGGAGCUUGCCCUUCGCCGGCCAACAACAUCAGCCACCACCGAGCCACCAUCACCACUGAACAACAUCAGCCAUGACCAUUCAUCUUCAACUGGUAAAACACAAUAUUUAAAAAGAACAUACUCGUGCUUUUUCCCUUUAUAUGGCGAUCGAUUGAAGGUGAAGGUAAAAAUCUCACCUCCAGUCUCCAGGCCUCCAACCGACACUCCUAAAAUCGAAAAUUCAAAAUUAUUCUGUGGUUCUUCAAUAUUCAUCGUCAUCGUCGCAUACAGAGACUUACACCCGAAGACACUUUUCUUAACCUUGUCGACGAUCACAUGAACAUCGACUUCUACUCACUGAUGCUAGCAAGCAGCGACACACCACCGGUCUUCCACUCCGGCGCAGCAGGGUAGUGACGACCGAUUUGUUCAUCAGGGGAUAUGAAUGCAAACAGUCGAAGAUAUUGCUCCAACUUCAAGUAGUCAAGAAGUGGGAGGUUCAUGUUCUAAUUAAGUAAAUACAUUUGAUGAAGAUGGAGAUGAAGUGGUCGGUUCAAAAGCGGGACAACAAGUUUGGAUGAUUUUGUUUGAUCCAAACAUGUUAUUUGAGUUUCAUUGUUGUGGUGCUAUAACGACAGAAGAUGAUUGAAUGAUCUAUUGAGACGGAGAUGGUGAUGAAUUAUUCUUGAAGAAUGUUAUGAUGAAAGGCAUCAAGGUUAUAGAGAUAGAUGGAAGGGGGGCAUGAUAAUCAAGGUCCUUACGUCUGCAUGAAAAUGUGUGGGAUGAAGAUGAAGAAUGGUCACUGAUCUUCCAAAAAGAAAGCAAUGUUCAUAGUUUUUUUAAAGAGAAAUUUAUGUUCAUAAUUGUAUUAUUAAGAAUGAAUGAAACUUAUUCUAAACAAUUAAAAUUCAUGUCAUAUAAAAUUUGUAUUCAUUAAAAAUUAUUUAUCUUGAUAAUAUAUGUUUAUAUUA